GGACUUUUCAACAAGAGGAAGUACAAUUUUCACAGUAGAAAAUGACAACGCAAUAAGGUUAAGAAGAUUCUUAAAACGACACCUCGAAACCUUGAUAUAACGCUUCCCCGUGUUUUCUGCUGGACUUGGAAGGUUAAACGCCGGCGACGACACCGAUUUAGAGGACGCUUUAUAGCUCAGGGUGGUAGCGCCGCGUGGCACACGGACAAGACCGCGCGCUACGACAGAACCGCGACGACGCCGGCGUCGAAGGUGGUGGCUCGAGUGGCUCGGGGGGUGAUUAUGAACGGGUUGCCCCGCGGCCACCCUGCAUCCGCAACACCUAGCAUCUACGAGAAAAUUCCGUGGGACUACCCGUGGAAGCCACCCGCUGCACGAUCUUCGUGGACGAUGCUCUUUCAGCUAGGCAGAGGCG
Molecule: unclassified non-coding RNA, 415 nt
Filed under: Bombus terrestris (buff-tailed bumblebee)
Lineage: Eukaryota; Metazoa; Arthropoda; Insecta; Hymenoptera; Apidae
Description: misc RNA ENSBTSG00005032563.1
Source: RNAcentral